RNAcentral lists this ribosomal RNA (429 nucleotides) under bacterium. Its description in RNAcentral is "partial 16S ribosomal RNA". It matches the Rfam family "Bacterial small subunit ribosomal RNA", at positions 355 to 776 of the family's 1533-position model. The record is from RNAcentral.
UGGGGAAUUUUGGACAAUGGGCGAAAGCCUGAUCCAGCAAUGCCGCGUGCAGGAUGAAGGCCCUCGGGUUGUAAUCUGCUUUUGUACGGAACGAAAAGCCUGGGGCUAAUAUCCCCGGGUCAUGACGGUACCGUAAGAAUAAGCACCGGCUAACUACGUGCCAGCAGCCGCGGUAAUACGUAGGGUGCAAGCGUUAAUCGGAAUUACUGGGCGUAAAGCGUGCGCAGGCGGUUUUGUAAGACAGUGGUGAAAUCCCCGGGCUCAACCUGGGAACUGCCAUUGUGACUGCAAGGCUAGAGUGCGGCAGAGGGGGAUGGAAUUCCGCGUGUAGCAGUGAAAUGCGUAGAUAUGCGGAGGAACACAGAUGGCGAAGGCAAACCCCUGGGCCUGCACUGACGCUCAUGCACGAAAGCGUGGGGAGCAAACAGG